CCUACGGGGUGCUGCAGUCGAGAAUCAUUCACAAUGGGGGAAACCCUGAUGGUGCGACGCCGCGUGGGGGAAUGAAGGUCUUCGGAUUGUAAACCCCUGUCAUGUGGGAGCAAAUUAAAAAGAUAGUACCACAAGAGGAAGAGACGGCUAACUCUGUGCCAGCAGCCGCGGUAAUACAGAGGUCUCAAGCGUUGUUCGGAAUCACUGGGCGUAAAGCGUGCGUAGGCUGUUUCGUAAGUCGUGUGUGAAAGGCGCGGGCUCAACCCGCGGACGGCACAUGAUACUGCGAGACGAGAGGAAUGGAGGGGGAACCGGAAUUCUCGGUGUAGCAGUGAAAUGCGUAGAUAUCGAGAGGAACACUCGUGGCGAAGGCGGGUUCCUGGACAUUAACUGACGCUGAGGCACGAAGGCCAGGGGAGCGAAAGGGAUUAGAUACCCUAGUAGUC
RNAcentral lists this ribosomal RNA (446 nucleotides) under uncultured bacterium. RNAcentral describes it as "partial 16S ribosomal RNA". It matches the Rfam family "Bacterial small subunit ribosomal RNA", at positions 338 to 795 of the family's 1533-position model. The record is from RNAcentral.